UGGAGAAAUGUCAAGCCUUUGAAAUUGAGCUUGAGCUCUUGAUAACAAAGAGAUCUUCUGCUCGACCGAAACAACAGGCGGCUUCAGUCACCUGUGCCUCACUCUGCUCUGGCGCAGCGACCAUGUGGCCAAACGAGGAGGCCACUUACCGAACGAGCCAACUGGAGGUGUGCGCUGCGGUGCCAAGGAAGCGUGGAAGGCGUUUCAGAGUGGAGCGGAGGAGUCCGGUGGGCGGAGGAGUCAGGAGGUGACCCGUUGCAUCCAUCAGCCCACACGCAGGCCCCUCCCUGGAGGAAGGCUCUCCACUGAGCUGCAGGAGCCGCAGCCAAAGAGCGUAACGCCACCAAAUAGGAUGAAGUUAUUGGGUAAUGUUGUGUGGGCUUCUCAUUGCAUAUGUCAGUAAAGAGCUAAGUGCAAAGUGCAAGGAAUAACAGUAUAUGAUCCGUCUGGGGCAAAGCUUUACCGGUUUGUUGUUUCAUUUUAUGAGGAAAGUGAUGUGGAAUGAUUUUUGAUAAGCUCCUUCUCGGUUUGAAGUAUUAGUAGGCAACAGACUUUCCUGCCCCUAGUGGUUCCAGGUGGUAUUAUUGUCUGGUCACUGUCGUAAAGACGCUGCAGUAGCAAGACGCCAGUAAGGAUGCCCGUAUUUUUUCUCAGAGCUCCUGAGAAAUUUUGUCGUCACCACUUUGGAGAUAAUGAGGAGAACAAAGAACUAUUUACACCAAAGCUCCUACUUCGUUUUCUGCCUCCUAGCGUUAAUUAGCGGCAGCAUUAGCAUCAUGGCUAACUCAAUGCCAGCAGCCUGGCUACUGUCCAAAGCAGAAACGCCCCUGUAAAAAUCCCAAUUUGAACAAAUAACCUUGAGUUAAACGUCUGGUAGUAUUAAUAAGUAGGCCUGUUGUGUUACCUGCUGAUCUGAAAAGGAGGCAAACUGCAUGUCAUAUUUGAAGCCUCUCAAGUCCUGGAGUUCUCUCCCCGGAGUGAAUGCCUAUUGUUAUUUUUCUCUUGUGAAGUUGAGUUGUUUUUGUCAUCUUGACUGUUCCACAUAUGCCCAUUCCAUCACUGGGGAUAGAUACCGGGAGAACGCUAUCCUCUUCCUUGUUUUGCUUCCUCAAUUGGUGACGCAGUUCCAUUGUGCCAAAUCAAGUCAGCUUUUCUUUUUUUUUUCUGAAGAUAAAAGUAAAUCUUUAAAUGAUAUAAUAUCAAGUUAGAUUCAAAUCACAUCUGGUGAACAUGUACAGGGGCUAUUUGUGGUGCGUAGGAGCUGGUUAGCUCAUGCGCUUUAGGCAUUAGGUCUUUAUUUAAUCUUUCUCAUGCUGUACUUCUAUGAGUUGACUCCAAGUGAAAUACAUAUUUCUGUCAAGGUUUAAUUUAGCAAUUUUCUCUUCGGACUAUUCACAAAGCACUCAGGAAAUCUCGGAUGUUUUCAUAAAAUCCCAUUACUGCAUUAGCCGAUACUGCCAACUUUCCAAGUACUGACUGAACUCCAGCAUCAAUAGGAAGAAAAACGUAUUGAUCUGCAUGUGUCUCUGAAGUCACCCUGCCACUGAAGAUGAGCUUUCAUUUUGGGGGUAAAAAAAUGGGGCUUAUGCUUCUGACGAGCUCUUGCACUUGUCUGGCCGCUGUGAAUGUUAAUGCAACAUAUUUCCCUAUGUGGCUCAUACUUAAUACUGGAGGCACAAUGUAUGUCUGUAUGAAAUUGCUUUGCCUCGAUCGGCUCACCGGGCCGGGGAAAGACUUCAGUGUUGAUGAUAAUUGUCGAGCGUGGUACCGCUCGUUCACGGAGCAUGGUUUCUGCCUGUUAAGUGACAGAAUAAUUACACACGAGCCUAAAUAGCACUCAGAAUAAAUGUGGGGAGUGAUAGCAGUGGAUGUGGAAGGAAUACUGAUGGUUCAACAGAGGUAAUGCAAUGAUUCUAAAGCCUACUCCCUUUGUUUGAGCCCCUGCUUUAUUUGCCUACGGCUGCCUCCUCCUCUUUGCGGCGAAGCGAGCUCAUUGGAGGAAAGUCGCAGGUUGACGUUCACUGUAGGUCCGCGGCAUAAAGGAUUCUAUCUGUUGCUAAGGUACUUCGAAUGGUUGGUUGACCAUCUUCACGUGGAGAAACGCGAGGAGACGGUUUAGAAUGACGACGGCUCGAGUGUGAAAUCUCAGGAUUACUCAGUUUCCCCUCAGUGAGUCAGACAGUCUGCACGAUCACUGGCUGUCUGGGGUGUUGGUGGCUUCAGGCAACGUUUGUUAUUGAGAUUUGACCCGCACUGUGGUGGACUUCUUUACAUUGAACAGCUUUCAAAUCCUCUGCCAAGAGAAAUCUGGCACAGACUCUCGGUGUCUGCAAAUAGACCCUUUUUAUAAAUGGAGUUGGAAAUAAGGUCAGGUUCACCCUCAGUUCAGAGCUCAAAUGGAGGGAAAGCUAUUUCAGCGGUGCAGCCUGAGCGGAGGAUUCAGAGGAGCGUUCUUUAAACCCAGCUAUCUCUGCGUGUGUUCAUCUAGUUACUAUGUUUUCAAUUGAGUUUUGCCUCUGAAUUUGUAGUUAAUGGGAAUAUUUCUAAUUUUUCUCAAUUUUUCUUUUAUUUCUAAAUUCAUAUGAUAUAAAAUAAUAAACUAGUGUGUGAUCUGUAAUUUAUUGAAGGUCCCACUGCAGAUUCAUUCCUCUAUUAUCAGUAUUAUUUUAUUUUAUUUUGGCUGUGUGUCCUGCUAAUAUAUGCAGCAGAAACAACAUGAAUAAAUAAGGCCCAAAAUCAGAAUUAACCAGGAUGCAGUAACAAAUUCUUUGAUAAAAUGUUGAAUAUAUGUGUCCACAGUGUUGGUACUUAGGGGCUGACAGUCAGAGCUUGUGGAAGCAGAUGCUUCCUUUUUUGAUAUCAAAUGACGUUAAAAGUUUGUCCUGUUUUGAAGGAAACUCAGUGUGAGGAAGCACCCGGAGUCAAACACCAGCCAACAUGUUGUUACGUAGGCUGAGGGUGUACGAGUAUAAAUAUGAAGCGCGGACUGAAUGUAUUUGAACCUGAUCUGUCUCUGAGCUGUAUGAAGAGCUAAGUUGGGAUUAAAGAUCCCACUGAAACUGCAUUCUUGAGUCUCUCUUCUGAGGAGCUCCAACCACAAUAAGCUUCAGCACCUUCCUGACUUAACAACCCUGCAGCAUUUCCACUGCUGUCAUUUGGAGCUGAUCCAGGUGAGCUCACCUACUGUAUCCACACAAAGACACACGCCAGAGUCUUUUCCUAGAUAACAAACUGGUGCAGCGAUACAUGUUCACUACAUGCUGCUGCACUCCACCGUAGGCGACAAUGUCACCACCUCUCGGCGCCUCCUACCUGUCAGCCGAUUGGCAUGACAGGCCGUUAUGCUCCAUCCAUGUUUUUUUCCUCUCCUUCAGUUGAACUAAAAUGAGCUCUGUCAAACGCCGUCAGCACUCGUCUCACACAACCUCUCCGCUACACGACCCACCUCUCGAUACUCGAGUUUAAAUUUAGUUUCACCUCAGACCACACGCCGUCAUUCCGUCGGACUGUGGCAGGGAGAUGAGAGCCGUUGGCCGCGUCUGUGAUUCCGGGGGAGCUCAUCAUCCCGGCUAUGUGGAGCAGCGUGAGUCUGGGCUGCCUGGGACUGUUGGUAUUGAGCAGGGAGGAGUGCCCCGGGCACAAUCCAUCAAAAAAAGGAGCUGUUUGCACUGUGGGAAUAGACAUGAAUAAUCCAUGCUUUCUUUACCCUUUCCUGUGCAACUGUAUGCGUAGCCCAUCACAUUCUCUGUUGCCUUUUCUUCCAAUAUCAAACCUCUGCAUUUGUAUUUACUUCAUUUUAGAAUAACAUUGUUUCUUUUUUUUUUUUUCUUUAAAUAAAAGCUUUUGAGAUAUAAUGUAUGAUCGGCAUCAGUAUGACAUUAAAAUAAUUGGCAUCAGAAAUACUAUCACUGAAAUACCCCCCCCCCAUUUUAUUUUUAUUAAAACAACUUACAUUUUCUCAUUUAUUCUAACCAUAAUAACUUGUGCUACUGUAAGUCAGGGCAAACAAUCAACAGAGUAAACCACAAUCAUUUUUGUGUUAUUUUAUUCAAGUUCCUUUCACUGUUUUAUGUGGGCAGAACUUGUUUUGCUCCAUCUUGUUAGACAAUUCACAGACUAUCACUGUGACGCACACGCAAAGCAGACAUCAUGCUCAGCGUCAACAAAAAAAAAACAUCCUGUCGCCACUUUACUUUGCCCUCCACAGGUUUGGACCAUUCUUCUCUGCCUCCAGCAGUAGUUGUGAGUAACUCAGCGAUGCCUUUAAUUAUCAUUUUAUCUCCAAAUCAAGGUCUGUGUGCUAAUAAUGUGCCUGACUCUUCUUCAUCUGGUCUUGGGACUGAACUUCAGGGUCAGUUAAAGCAGGGACUUCAAGGACUAGUGGAAUAGUUUCAGGCUAAAUCCGCUUGAAGCUGAUAAGAAAAAGGUGUGUAAGGAAGAAAAAAACAGAUUUUAUGGAUGUAUCAGGCUUUGGGGCCUUUCUAGUUUGCAGGUUUUUUAUGAUGGUCAUAAACAUUGAUUUGUGCUUUGUUAAUAAUGGAGGACCCUCUUGAGAGCUCUGAGCAAUAAUCACUGUUUGUGAAGUCAUGUGAUUCUUGACUUUUUUUUGUUAUUAUCAUUUUCCCAAGACAGAUGCUCUAGCCACAAUAAACACUAACACUAUUUCUUGCCAGGUGAAUUAUGCAGUGAAUGGUGCAGCUGAGGAUAUUUCAUUCUACAGUAAUGGAUAAUAUAGUAGUUUAAUGGACUACUGCCCCACAGUGGCAGUAAUGUUGCUGUGGCCAAGUGCCACAUUGUUCCUGUGAGCUUCCUUUUACCACCCUGAGGUCUCUUGUGAUCAGGAACGUCCACGUCGCUCCUCAGCAGCAACACCUCCUCCUUCGCUUGGUUUGAGCCGAGCUCACUUUCCCCAUUCAACCUGAAGUGGUUCCUUUUUUUUUUUUCAACGAUCCCCACGUUUCCCUCAGUUUGGUUGAUAAAUAGAUUAAAUCCUGGUGGUGAUAAAUAUCCAGCAAGACUCGAGGAGGGGUUUUCACGGGCUCUGAAUUCAAGCAAUUAUAAAGUCUGCAAAUCAUUUUGCUUUAAUUAGAUCUUGGAAAAUCUGAUAAGAUACCCAAUCUCAGUUUUCCGUUUUCACAGCUCCCUGCCAGCAAGAUGAAAAAGAUUGUAAUUCAAUCAGCCAGAGAAUUUGAUAUGAACUGGGUCUUUCCAUUGAUCGUCCGCCCGCCAGGUGGUAUUGCAUAGCACGGAGUUUAAAUGUCUGCGUGUGAUAGAGCAUAACUUAAAUUGACCAGAGAGAGAGAUGUGCCAUGUUUGCAGAUUAGACAGUUUGAGGGAUUUGUGGUGUGCAUGCUGUCUGCCUCCCUCUUUCCUCUCCUGCUCAAUAAAUCAGUCUUGCUUUUGGGUGCGUCUGUGGAAAAGCCCAAUGAGAAGCGCUCUACAGAUGGACGCCUGCCCACCUCCUCCCGACCAGCACUCAGGCAGGUCAGUGAGAAUAAAUAUUCCGCUCCUUUUAUUCUGCCUCCAUAAGCAGUAAAAUCAAUAUGCUCUGGCUGUAUUGUGCAGCUGGUAGACGAGGCGGGACGCUCUUGCAGAGAGGGCAAGUGCACACCAGCAUGGGCACAUCAUGUAAUGCACUAAUGCACCUCAGGGCUCUGACAUCAAUUAAGAGAGACAAUAGACAACUGGCCUAUGCAUCGCAGGCCAAAAACAUUAAUGUGUGACGUAAGUGUGGGUGUUUACCGGGUGAAAGGAAGUGUCAUCACAGAUUGGACCUCUGUUGAAAUGACAUUUUGUCUUAAAUACUGUAGUUUUUUUUCCUAAAUCAUCUAUUUAAAGGAACAGUUAGACAUUUCUGGGAAAUGUGCUUUCUUGCGGACAGUGAGACGAAAAGACCUUUAGACAGAGAGCGUCUCAGGGAUGUUGGAUGAAGGGAUGCUGGUAGGGCUGGCAGGGACUGUGAUUGUAGUUUCAUUUCAUUUUAGAUCAUUCAUUGUAUUUUCUGUAAAUCUAAUGAACAAAUGUUUAUACUACUUCCCUCGGAUGGUCCUUUGGCCACGAAGAAGCAAAUCCCUGCUGGCGUGAGCCUCUCCAGGCGAAGGAGUUUACAAUCCCAGACAGGCACUUUGGAAAUGGAAAAUGAAUCUGGUUUUACAACUGAAUAUGAUCCAUUGAGGGUGAGACUUCACAAUUCAGGUACUUAUAGCACAAUGUAUAUUGCCACAGCUAGUCUACAUACACUGGAAAAAUGGAAUAUGCCUAUUGACACGCACCAAAACUCUCAGCACCCCCCAACUCUAACUGAAAGUUGGGUGACAAAUGUUAUGACAGUUGUUUCACCACAGGCCAGAGUAAAAACUGGAAUUUCCUGUGGUGUAUUUCUGUGUCUUUUUAAUAUCUUGUGCAACAUCAGUAAUCCACUCUGAGAUCAAAUUGUCUUGAGGGGCCAUACACGGGCUGGUGGCUGGAGGUUCUCCAACGAUAUAUUAAACCAAAUUAACUUGCCCCCUCAAACGUACAAUACUUAAGAGUGGUAUCAAUCUUCUCAUCCAGCUCUUAGCAAGAAAGUAUAUGAAAAUAUUUCCUUCUCACAGAGUCCUCUCAAAAGGAACAUAUUUCUUUUAUUUGAUUUUUUUGUAGACUAUUCUGAACUAUUUUUAUGUUUCAUGUUUAACAUCACUCUCUGAUAUCUGAUAUCAAUAUAACAGAUAACUAUCAUUUAUGAUCUGUGGCCUGUCUGGACACAGUUGGAGCUGCUUCCUCUCUGUCUCUCCCACACGGACUGGUUUUAUAAUAACAGUGAAGCUGUUGCCAAGGUGCAAAUUCUGAGUCAAUGUUUUAUUUAUUUGUUUGUGCAAAUGGAUCGCCUUGCUGAGUGUCAGAACCUUAAUCUGUUGAAAGGAUGGCGGUCGACACACACAUCGUGUUUUCAUUAAUGCCUUUUGUGAGUGGGAGUAGCCAUUUCAAAUUCCUAUUAUUCUAGAAAUGGGGGAGCAAUUCUCUAUUUCCAUGGACGCCAUGUUUCCUCCCCACAGUUAAAUGUAAAUGGUGUAUUUUGGAUAGCAACAACUUAUCGUGUUUAUUUGUUGUAUUUUCAUGUAUUGAAAUGAUUUUGAUUGUACAUUUCGUAAUUGUGAGUUAUAAGGUUUUUAAUGAUAUUGAUGUCGUGUAAGAAUAUUUUUGUUUAUGUGUCGUUUGGGUUUAAAGGAUGUCAUGAUGCUUUCCACCCCACAAGCAGUGAGACUGACUGUGGCCAUUAUAUAUUUCCCACGAUUCUGCUUCCACCUGCCACUCAUCACUGCACAGGGCUGCCUUCAGGUAUCCUUGCCAUGUUCUCUUUGGUCCGUUUUAAUUGGGUUUCCCCCUGAAGUAUUUCCAGAAAGACGGGGGGAUGAUGUAUCCAAAAGCCCCCAGAUCAAAUGAAAAAGCUCUGCAUUUCUCUUGUUGGCUGUCACUGGGCGAGGAUGGGCACGGUAUGGCUGACGUCCCAGAGUCACGGCGGGGAGCUGGAGUCUGGAGAACCGGCAUGCCUUCCUCUCCUCUCUCAGAGAGCUCUGUUUGUCGCUCGCCAUCUCCGUCUGUCACACCGCGGAGAGCCGGGGCCACACAUUUCUCCUCUCAUGCAUCUUUCCACCCUGGCCAUCGCGGCACAGCCCUCCCUCACAUACUCAACACCUCAAAGGGGAAACAUGUCAUCCCUCUCUCCUCACAUAGUGCUAAAAAGGCCCCGCUCCCCCCGGGGACCUCUACUCUUCCUCUGCCGAUCGAUCUGCUGAGCCCUCGCCUCAAUCAUCCACCUAUCUAUCCGUCUUCCUGUCUUUAAGCGCUGCCAUUUGUCUCCAGCCUUUACUAUACACGUCUGUACACUCACUGAGGAUAUCUCAAUAGCUUUUGUUAGUGAUCAAUAAUUCUCUUUUUAGAAUAGAAAUAAUGAAUAUUAGAGUUUUUAUUAGAGCUGGACAUCCUGCACUCCUGUAUGAACUCAUCACAGUGAGUUGAAUAGCUAACACUGAUGUUAAGGUGUCACUUUGUAAUGUACUCCCUGUUUGGAUUUUGCUCAGUCUUGCAGUUCUCUUCCUGCUCUCCCGUAGAUUGCUUUUCCUACGCGUUCCACCCCCAUAUUGAUUGUUCCAGUGCACUAAUUAUUCUGCUUGGCCAUGGAUGUCUCUGUGAACUGCCUUUGAUCGACAUGUCGGAAUGCCUGGAAUCACUGAAAAUAGGAGAGGAAACAGUUUUGGUUACAGAAUUAAGAGCACGUUGGGUUCUGACUUCUGAUAUUUGUAAAACAAGUGUGACGCCUUCUCAAAUGACUAGCCAGACUGUCUGCAGUCACUUCCUGUGCCAUAGUAUGAGCUCUUGACUUGGCUGAUCAGCACAUUGUGUGCGUGUGUGUGUGUGUGUGUGCGUGCGUUCGUGCGUUCCUGCGUGUGCGUGUGUGCGCAUGUGGGUAUUUGUGAGCGCUGCAUUCAUAUAUGCAUCAGUGCCUAUGUUAUUAUCCUGAAUGUGUUUGUGUGUAUGUGUGCAUGUGAAUGUGGGCAUAAUCUCAGGUCAGUACAUCCUGCUCUGCCACCAUCUGUGCUCAGGCAGGCAACAGGCCACUUCAUACACACUCAGCAGCUCCAUACAGACACUUAGGUCUAUUUUUGUUUUUUUGUUUUGCUUGUUUAGAAUAUGAAAAUGUCUGGUUCUAUAUAACAAAUAUUUCCUACAGUGGGACGGCUAGUCUCAAUGAUUGCUGAUUUAAUUUAAAGAUGAUCUAGUGAAAACCAGGGAAUUAUAAUAGUACGUUUGAGGCUGAGAUGUAUUUAUGAAUUCCAUUAUGGUAUUUGAAAUUAACUAUAUGAUUUAGUUUUCCAGUUUACCUCCUUGUUGUUGUUGGUUGUGCUUAGCUUCUGUUUUAGUUGUGUGCAUUCUGUAUUUGCAUCAUGUUGGUGCAGAAAUAGAAAAAGCAGUGCAACACCAAAUUAUUUUCAACAUUAUAACUGGAGCUAAAUGCUAAAUGUUUAGAUAGAUAGAUAGAUAAACAGAUUAAACUUACAUUAUUUCAAUGGUAGUUGUUUAGUAUUAACUUUCAAACUAUGAAUGAAUAACAAUAAUAUAUCAAGAAUCAUAUGAAUAAAGUCAUUAGAUGGCAGCCAAUGUUGAUGCCCCAGCGGGUCUGUUAACGCACGGGAAUCCUUGAUAUUAGAUUGAAUUAUGCAUGUGUUGGUAUUACAUUACAAUUUCAGAUACAUGCUAACACUGAAUUUAUUCCCAUGAUUAGAAUUUCAGAUCCAUCCGUAACUGCCAGGCAUAAUGGCGGUAGAUUGGGAAUCAAUACAGAGCCCUGGAACGAGUGUCACUGGUGACCUUUGUGUGCGCUCAGAGGAGCCUCAGCCAGUGACAUUUUAGGCUCAAAGGUCCCCGUGGAUUAGCACUCAUUGGACGGUGUGUAAAUGACACUCGUGGCAAUCUCUGUGUGUCUCUAAACGCUGGUCAUUCUGGCAGAACAUAUAGGAGCCGUCUGCGGUUCAGCAGAAGCUGCACCUAUAUGCAGGGUUGCAUGAAGCCAGGAAACACUGCAAAAGGGGGUUACAGACGGGUUACUGAAAGAUGCAGACAUCGCAGGGAUUAAUAAUUCAGUCGUUCAGCAAAGUAUGCAGACCAGUGUUGCAAGGCCUAAUGAGCGGAAACAUCUGUCUGCCUGGGGCAUGUUGUGACCCCUCUCCAGCCUAGUCCAUUGGACUCCCUUUGCCCAACACACCACCUCCCUGACUCCUUUACACUCACACAUACCACACCGCCCUCUGUUUGGCACUGCCUCCUCUCCUCACCUGCAGGCACCCUCUUCCUUUGCACACCCUGGCUUCAGGACCAUCUGCCAGCUCCCCUCGGGGCACCAGCCAGGUGCUGGGCACGCCGUCACCCCAGCUAUGCCACAACAGCACUGCCUGCUGGGAUCAGCCUCGCUGUGCCAACUGUUGAUCGUCAUGUCCUCUCAGUCCCGCCCAGACACCCUCUUACUAAUCCAGGGACAAGCUGUGCUUAAUAAAGACUGGAUUCAGAGUGUGUCUCAAAUUUUUGAUGAAUGUAGAUGAUUUCCUGAGUCCACGUUUAGUCUUUGUUGUACGAUGCCCUGCUCCUCCCCCUGUGUCUGCUGCAGGUCUCCCGUGGUUGUUCCCCUCGAGACGCAGCCUGUGUGCAACCACAACGUCGGUUUCUGGAACAACAUUGUGCUGCCAUGUUUACCGGAGCUGCCGCUCUGACGUUGGCACAGCCAGUAAUCACUGGUAAUGAUGAGGACAAAGUCAAACAUGUACAAGGAGAAAAUGUGAAUGUGAAUGUCUAUAUCUAUAUUUAUUUUGAACGUACCCCGAAUCCUUCCAGCAGAGCUGAGUGUUGCUCUGUUAGUUAUUCACAUGGUUCCUCCACAGGAGCCGCACAGGAAGCUGAUAUCAGAAACGGGGCAGAAGGCGAUGAAGGUGGAAAAGUUUCCCCUCAGGGUGAGUGAGGAGCUUAAUUGCUUAUGCUCAACUUGUAAUACUUUUUCACAGAUAUAUUGCAUUUUCAGUAUAGGUGCAGGAAGUGAUGUUUUACAAGGUUUUAAAUGUAUUACCACAAGAACAGACAUUCUUUGUGUUUCCUUUAUUGUUACUGUACAUUCAGAGGUGUGGGUUGUUGAUUUUCUCCAUGGACACUUCAGCACUGUCGGCAGAGAUUACAUUUAUCAUAUAUUUUCUAUCAGAAUUGAUAGUGAGUCACAAUGCUGAAACAGAUUUAUGCACGUUGCAGUUUUUGUGGCUUCUCACAAUUUGAGUCAUUUUAACAAACUAUAGAUCUAAACUAACAUCUUCAGCAAAGACUUGUAUCAUUAUAGAAACAUGGUCACUGAGUUACACUGGAUUUAAUUCCCUCAAUUUUCCUACCUUACCUCAGGAUCCACAGUCACUCCCUAAACUUGUAUUCAAUUAAAAAGCUAUGAAACACAUUUUAUUUUGAAAAUACUCAACUAUAUCAGAAAAUAUGAAUGCCUACUUUAUCAUAGGGCAGUUUUCAUAGCAUCCCCCC
This is a long non-coding RNA of Scophthalmus maximus (turbot), 11046 nucleotides long. RefSeq lists it as uncharacterized. Lineage: Eukaryota; Metazoa; Chordata; Actinopteri; Pleuronectiformes; Scophthalmidae. The record is from RefSeq and is a predicted model, not a curated record. The transcript is spliced from 3 exons.